CCUACGGGUGGCAGCAGUGGGGGAUAUUGCACAAUGGGGGAAACCCUGAUGCAGCGACGCCGCGUGUGGGAAGACGGUCCUCUGGAUUGUAAACCACUGUCCCCAGGGACGAAGAUGACGGUACCUGGGGAGGAAGCUCCGGCUAACUACGUGCCAGCAGCCGCGGUAAUACGUAGGGAGCGAGGGUUGUCCGGAAUUACUGGGUGGAAAGGGAGCGUAGGCGGGGAUGCAAGUUGGGUGUAAAAACUACCGGCUCAACUGGUAGUCGCACUCAAAACUGCAGCUCUUGAGUGAAGUAGAGGCAGGCGGAAUUCCUAGGGUAGGGGUGAAAUGCGUAGAUAUUAGGGGGAACAACAGUGGCGAAGGCGGCCUGGUGGGCUUUUACUGACGCUGAGGCUCGAAAGUGUGGGGAGCAAACAGGAUUAGAUACCCUUGUAGUC
Molecule: ribosomal RNA, 440 nt
Filed under: uncultured bacterium
Lineage: Bacteria
Description: partial 16S ribosomal RNA
Rfam family: Bacterial small subunit ribosomal RNA
Source: RNAcentral